Molecule: non-coding RNA, 222 nt
Organism: Paramuricea clavata
Lineage: Eukaryota; Metazoa; Cnidaria; Anthozoa; Malacalcyonacea; Plexauridae
Source: the annotation of a GenBank genome assembly
GUCAUCAUUGGCUAUGCACGAUUAAUCAAAUCAUCUUUCAAAGCAUUUUAAUUGACAUGCUUAUGUUGUCGUUAAAUCUUGAACACCGAUUAUUUUACCUUGCAUUUCUCUUCCUGCUGCGCUGAAGGAAACAUUGCGGAGAGAUCUUCGUUUUCGAAAUGACUUUGGACUCUAAUCUGAACCAAUUCUUCCUUAUCGUCAAUGGCUUCAUAGUUCUCUGUA